This 469-nucleotide small RNA is filed under the name Histoplasma capsulatum var. duboisii H88. RNAcentral describes it as "Histoplasma capsulatum H88 hypothetical RNA". The record is from RNAcentral. Lineage: Eukaryota; Fungi; Ascomycota; Eurotiomycetes; Onygenales; Ajellomycetaceae.
CAUGUUGAUGGUGGGAACCCUUGCUGCUCCAAGAUCUGGCCAUUACGAAUGUCUGGAAUCUGGAUUGAGCUGGUUGAACGAGGUUAGAAAUUUCCAGAAAUGUUUGGAACUACUGGAUCUUUCAUUCAUACUAUAGUGGAGAAUCUACGCUUGCAUUCGUGCUUUAACUAUGAUGUCUACGCUGUAACGGGCGAUACCACAUCCAAGCAUUCCUUGAAGACACCAAGGACAAACGUCGAAAGGUGGGGCUUGGGUUUCGCGCUGUCAUCACGCAGCUACCGCAUACAGCCGUCGGUACAGGCAAAAAGGCACAAUCCUUGCAAUGUGCCCGCGUUAGGAAUACCUCGAUAUCUUCCUGGUUUGUAUCUCCACGCUGUAGUAGGAACCCGGACAAGGAAAAGUUUGUUGUACUGUGCUGUGGUCUGCACAAUGAGCGAGACAUUUUCAAAUCGAAAACACUCUUUUAUAU